GAAACCAGCGGCAUUUCCUGUGUUCUGACAGUUAUCUCUUCCCCAAGUUUCUCAUGGAUGAUUCUGAAGAACUUUGACAUAGCGUUAGCUUAACCAAGGUCCAAGCUACACACAAAUGGCCUCGCCAGCCAAACAAGACCGUCGAACCUCCAGAAAAAAGGUGGCUGUUGUUGGCGCUGGUGUUAGUGGGCUUGCUGCAGCCUACAAAUUGAAAUCACAUGGUUUCGAUGUUACGGUGCUUGAAGCAGACGAAAGAGUUGGAGGAAAGUUAAGAAGCGUCUCAUACAAGGGACUUAUCUGGGAUGAAGGAGCGAAUACAAUGACUGAGAGUGAACCAGAGGUCCAGUGCUUACUUGAUGAUCUUGGACUUAGAGAGAAACAACAAUUUCCAAUUUCUCAAAAUAAACGAUAUAUAGUGAGGAAUGGGGUGCCAGUACUGGUGCCUACAAAUCCCAUUGCAUUGAUCAAGAGCAACUUUCUCUCUGCAAAAUCAAAGUUUCAGAUCAUUUUGGAGCCAUUUUUGUGGAAGAAGUAUGAUUCAUCAAAAGUGUCAGAUGAUGGUACUGAUGAAAGUGUGGGUGGAUUCUUUCAGCGCCAUUUUGGACAAGAGGUUGUUGACUAUCUAAUUGACCCUAUUGUUGCUGGUACAAGUGCUGGAGAUCCUGACUCUCUUUCUAUGAGUCAUUCAUUUCCGGAGCUGUGGAAUAUAGAGAAAAGGUUUGGUUCUAUUUUUGCUGGAUUAGUCCUCUCAAAAUUGUCUACCAAAAAGGAGAGUGGUGGAGUGAGAAAUGGUACUACAGGAAAAAGUAAACCUCGCCGUGGUUCCUUUUCCUUUCAGAAUGGAAUGCAGACACUCACUGAUACACUAAGCAAAGAGCUUGGUGAAGGCGUGCUUAAGUUAAGAUCUGAAGUUUUGUCACUAUCUUACAAUGCUGGGAAGUACGCAUCACAAAAUUGGUCACUCAUUUAUUCCAAGGACAAGAAUUCAAAGGAUUUAAUUGCUGAUGCUGUUAUCAUGACGGCUCCUGUUUGCAGUGUCAGAGAAAUGAAGUUUAUGAAAGGAGGAAUUCCAUUUUCACUAAAUUUUCUUCCCGAGGUGGCUUACAUGCCGUUAUCGGUCAUGAUAACUACCUUCAGAAAAGAGAGUGUUAAGCGACCACUGGAAGGAUUUGGAGUUCUUGUACCUUCCUCAGAACAACAAAAUGGUUUAAGAACCCUUGGCACACUCUUUUCCUCCAUGAUGUUUCCAAAUCGUGCAUCAAAUGAUGAGUAUCUGUAUACUACUUUUAUUGGAGGGAGUCGAAACAGGGAGCUUGCAAAGUCAUCAACAGACGAAUUGAAGCAAAUUGUUACAACAGAUCUGAGACAGCUGUUGGGAGUUGAAGGAGAGCCCACUUUUAUCAACCAUUUCUAUUGGAGCAAAGCAUUUCCCUUAUAUGGGCGUAACUAUGAUUCAGUUGUGAAGGCAAUUGAAACAAUGGAAAAAAAUCUUCCUGGCUUCUUUUAUGCAGGUAACCACAGGGAUGGUUUGUCUGUUGGCAAAUCUAUAGCCUCCGGAUGCAAAGCUGCGGAUCUUGUAAUUUCUUAUCUGGAAUCUUCUACUGACCAAUCAUGCGCUGAAUAACAACAUUAAUCGGAAAAAUUAAAGCGCAACCUUGUUCCACAUAUCCUUUUCCCGUUAUGCUGCGUGCAGGGACUCCUCUCAAACUGUCUGAAGGAUCGGCAACAAUUAUCUGCUAAGGAAAAUGCCUAAAGCUUAUGGCCUCUCCAAACUCAUGGGCCUGAUUUGGAGGUAAAAGGGGACAUAUUAUUUGGACGUAUGCCUUCCUAGUUUGAAAGCAUUUCGUAGGAUUGAUUUAAAACAAGUGAAAAUAUGGGAAAGGGCUCAACAAUAUUGCACUUCACCUGGUAUAGCUCAAAGUGGAAGGAGAGGAACAAAAUGAAAUAAAACAAAACUAUUAGUAAUGUUUUCCAUCGAUGAAUAAAAAAAAUAAAAGAAUUGACGUACAAUUUUACAUGGUUCACUAAUGGUAUAUGUAUGUGUUUAAUUAACAUGAUAAUAAAACUAGCAAAUCUUUUACUCUUUAUUUGAUAACUUUAGAGAUUAGAGAAUGAAAGAAGAAACAAGAGGGAGGUAGGAAAAAAAGGAGGAAAAAUGGAAAAGUGUUCAAUGGUAGAUGGAAACAAGCUAAGAAAGAUAGAGAAAUAGAAAAGGAAAAAGCAAUGAGGUGUACAUAAAUACUUCCCAUCCAUAUUGAUAUCGUAAUCCUAAUAGCAUUUUUUUCAA
This is an RNA transcript of Cucumis sativus (cucumber), 2287 nucleotides long. It is a transcript of the gene named protoporphyrinogen oxidase 2, with no coding region annotated. The transcript is spliced from 21 exons. NCBI's taxonomy places the organism in Eukaryota, Viridiplantae, Streptophyta, Magnoliopsida, Cucurbitales, Cucurbitaceae. The record is from RefSeq and is a predicted model, not a curated record.